This 468-nucleotide ribosomal RNA is filed under the name uncultured bacterium. Its description in RNAcentral is "partial 16S ribosomal RNA". It matches the Rfam family "Bacterial small subunit ribosomal RNA", at positions 28 to 507 of the family's 1533-position model. The record is from RNAcentral.
GACGAACGAGGGUGGCGGGAGGAACACAUGCAAGUCGAACGGAAAGGCCCUGCUUUUGUGGGGUGCUCGAGUGGCGAACGGGUGAGUAACACGUGAGUAACCUGCCCUUGACUUUGGGAUAACUUCAGGAAACUGGGGCUAAUACCGGAUAGGAGCUCCUGCUGCAUGGUGGGGGUUGGAAAGUUUCGGCGGUUGGGGAUGGACUCGCGGCUUAUCAGCUUGUUGGUGGGGUAGUGGCUUACCAAGGCUUUGACGGGUAGCCGGCCUGAGAGGGUGACCGGCCACAUUGGGACUGAGAUACGGCCCAGACUCCUACGGGAGGCAGCAGUGGGGAAUAUUGCACAAUGGGCGGAAGCCUGAUGCAGCAACGCCGCGUGCGGGAUGACGGCCUUCGGGUUGUAAACCGCUUUCGCCUGUGACGAAGCGUGAGUGACGGUAAUGGGUAAAGAAGCACCGGCUAACUACGUG